This 26-nucleotide non-coding RNA is filed under the name Homo sapiens (human). The record is from RNAcentral. Lineage: Eukaryota; Metazoa; Chordata; Mammalia; Primates; Hominidae.
UGUUUUACUGCCAUAGGUUUGGGUCC